GUUAAUAUAGCUUAAUUAGAGCUUAACACUGAAGAUGUUAGGGUGUUUAUUUUUAAACUAUUAACA
RNAcentral lists this transfer RNA (66 nucleotides) under Caenis sp. JYZ-2020. Its description in RNAcentral is "tRNA-Phe". The record is from RNAcentral. Lineage: Eukaryota; Metazoa; Arthropoda; Insecta; Ephemeroptera; Caenidae.